GAUCAUGGCUCAGGACGAACGCUGGCGGCGUGCCUAACACAUGCAAGUCGAACGAGGCUCGAAGCUCUGAGAUUUCGGUCAAGGAGCGGAGAUGACUUAGUGGCGAACGGGUGAGUAAUGCGUGAGCAACCUGCCUUUCAGAGGGGGACAACAGCUGGAAACGGCUGCUAAUACCGCAUAAUACAUUUGGGUGGCAUCAUCUGAAUGUCAAAGGAGCAAUCCG
This 223-nucleotide ribosomal RNA is filed under the name uncultured bacterium. Its description in RNAcentral is "partial 16S ribosomal RNA". It matches the Rfam family "Bacterial small subunit ribosomal RNA", at positions 15 to 217 of the family's 1533-position model. The record is from RNAcentral.